GGAGUGGCAGACGGGUGAGUAACGCGUGGGAACGUGCCCUUCGCUUCAGGAUAGCCUCGGGAAACUGGGAGUAAUACUGAAUACGCCGUAUUGGGAAAGAUUUAUCGGCGAAGGAUCGGCCCGCGUUAGAUUAGGUAGUUGGCGGUGUAAUGGACCACCAAGCCUACGAUCUAUAGCUGGUCUGAGAGGAUGAUCAGCCACACUGGGACUGAGACACGGCCCAGACUCCUACGGGAGGCAGCAGUGGGGAAUCUUGGACAAUGGGCGCAAGCCUGAUCCAGCCAUGCCGCGUGAGUGAAGAAGGCCUUAGGGUUGUAAAACUCUUUCGCCGGAGAAGAUAAUGACGGUAUCCGGAGAAGAAGCCCCGGCUAACUUCGUGCCAGCAGCCGCGGUAAUACGAAGGGGGCUAGCGUUGUUCGGAAUUACUGGGCGUAAAGCGCACGUAGGCGGGUUUGUAAGUAGGGGGUGAAAUCCCAGGGCUCAACCCUGGAACUGCCUUC
RNAcentral lists this ribosomal RNA (500 nucleotides) under uncultured Alphaproteobacteria bacterium. RNAcentral's name for it is "bacterial SSU rRNA". It matches the Rfam family "Bacterial small subunit ribosomal RNA", at positions 92 to 628 of the family's 1533-position model. Lineage: Bacteria; Pseudomonadati; Pseudomonadota; Alphaproteobacteria. The record is from RNAcentral.